UUGGGUGGCGGACGGGUGAGUAACGCGUAAAGAACUUGCCUCACAGUUAGGGACAACAUUUGGAAACGAAUGCUAAUACCUGAUAUUAUGAUUUUAGGGCAUCCUAAGAUUAUGAAAGCUAUAUGCGCUGUGAGAGAGCUUUGCGUCCCAUUAGCUAGAUGGAGAGGUAACGGCUCACCAAGGCGAUGAUGGGUAGCCGGCCUGAGAGGGUGAACGGCCACAAGGGGACUGAGACACGGCCCUUACUCCUACGGGAGGCAGCAGUGGGGAAUAUUGGACAAUGGACCAAAAGUCUGAUCCAGCAAUUCUGUGUGCACGAUGACGUUUUUCGGAAUGUAAAGUGCUUUCAGUUGGGAAGAAAAAAAUGACGGUACCAACAGAAGAAGUGACGGCUAAAUACGUGCCAGCAGCCGCGGUAAUACGUAUGUCACAAGCGUUAUCCGGAUUUAUUGGGCGUAAAGCGCGUCUAGGUGGUUAUGUAAGUCUGAUGUGAAAAUGCAGGGCUCAACUCUGUAUUGCGUUGGAAACUGCAUGACUAGAGUACUGGAGAGGUAAGCGGAACUACAAGUGUAGAGGUGAAAUUCGUAGAUAUUUGUAGGAAUGCCGAUGGGGAAGCCAGCUUACUGGACAGAUACUGACGCUAAAGCGCGAAAGCGUGGGUAGCAAACAGGAUUAGAUAACCUGGUAGUCCACGCCGUAAACGAUGAUUACUAGGUGUUGGGGGUCGAACCUCAGCGCCCAAGCUAACGCGAUAAGUAAUCC
RNAcentral lists this ribosomal RNA (762 nucleotides) under uncultured Fusobacterium sp. RNAcentral's name for it is "bacterial SSU rRNA". It matches the Rfam family "Bacterial small subunit ribosomal RNA", at positions 91 to 870 of the family's 1533-position model. The record is from RNAcentral. Lineage: Bacteria; Fusobacteriati; Fusobacteriota; Fusobacteriia; Fusobacteriales; Fusobacteriaceae.